This 803-nucleotide long non-coding RNA is filed under the name Panax ginseng (ginseng). Its description in RNAcentral is "long non-coding RNA (PGIN_LNC009007)". Lineage: Eukaryota; Viridiplantae; Streptophyta; Magnoliopsida; Apiales; Araliaceae. The record is from RNAcentral.
CUGAGCUUGUGAGACGAGUAGAGAAAGAUCUGCUGAAAAUCAUGGCUGGUGGAACUGCUGAAAAUGCUGAUAUCCUUGCAUUAAAUAACUUCUACAUAACUUUGUAGCAAUACACAUGUUUCUUGUACAGCAUGAAUAACUGAACCUUUAGACAAAUUAUGAGCUUCUGCACUAAAUCACUAAUAUAGGUCACACAUUACCAAAAAAUUUGCCAUCCUACACUGAGAAUAAGACUUAUAUACACUUUUCAAUGGUCUAUACUAUAUAUGCCCUUUGAUAUUCCUUUACCAAGUUUCGCCAGAUAAUUAAUGUGAAUAUAAGCCAACUUAGCUAUUAAGAGAGUUGAAAGCAGUAACUGCUUAUCUUUUGGGGGCUGGGGUGGGCGCAGGGCCUGAAUGGUGGAACGCAUAUUUGAUUCGUAACAGUAGAAAAAUAGGCUAGUGGGAUUCAUUCAUAAUUUUUAUUCCUUGACCUAACUAGGUAGCGGUUCACUUGUUGAAGUGGCUGAGCAAGCUGAAGGUGGUCGUAAUGCAAGUAAGAAAACUGCACCUAUACCUGCACCCAAGCCUGAUGUUUCAGAGGCCGGAACAAAUGCUGGGGAACCGGAGAGAAGUGAUUCUGACGAGUCGGAUGAUUCAAUAUAAUCUUGACCGGCGUUGGCCCUAGUUUUACUAUCAUCAAUCGCUAAUCCGAAAUGGAGAAAAAUUAAUUGUUAUUUUUCAUUUGGAGUUUAAAUUUGAUAUUUGGAAUUUCAUAUUUGGAUCAUAUUAUUAAUAAAUUUGAAUUUCACUCGUAUUUUCUCG